CCUACGGGAGGCUGCAGUGGGGAAUAUUGCACAAUGGGCGAAAGCCUGAUGCAGCCACGCCGCGUGAGCGAUGAAGGCCUUCGGGUCGGUAAGCUCUGUCCUCAAGGGAGAUAAUGACGGUACUUGAGGAGGAAGCCACGGCUAACUACGUGCCAGCAGCCGAGGUUAUACGUAGGCGGCUAGCGUUAUCCGGAGUUACGGGGCGUAAGGGGUGCGUAGGUGGUUUCUUAAGUCAGAGGUGAAAGGCUACGGAUAAACCGUAGUAAGCCUUUGAAACUGGGAAACUUGAGUGCAGGAGAGGAGAGUGGAAUUCGUGGUGUAGCGGUGAAAUGCGUAGAUAUUAGGAGGAACUCCAGUUGCGAAGGCAGCUUACUGGACUGUAACUGACACUGAGGCACGAAAGCGUGGGGAGCAAACAGGAUUAGAUACCCCUGUAGUC
RNAcentral lists this ribosomal RNA (439 nucleotides) under uncultured bacterium. RNAcentral describes it as "partial 16S ribosomal RNA". It matches the Rfam family "Bacterial small subunit ribosomal RNA", at positions 338 to 795 of the family's 1533-position model. The record is from RNAcentral.